This 506-nucleotide ribosomal RNA is filed under the name uncultured bacterium. RNAcentral describes it as "bacterial SSU rRNA". It matches the Rfam family "Bacterial small subunit ribosomal RNA", at positions 791 to 1304 of the family's 1533-position model. The record is from RNAcentral.
UAGUCCACGCCGUAAACGAUGAUUACUCGCUGUAGGCGAUACACAGUCUGUGGCUAAGCGAAAGUUUUAAGUAAUCCACCUGGGGAGUACGAUCGCAAGAUUGAAACUCAAAGGAAUUGACGGGGGCCCGCACAAGCGGAGGAACAUGUGGUUUAAUUCGAUGAUACGCGAGGAACCUUACCUGGACUUAAAUGUACGUUGCAUGGAUCAGAGAUGGUUCUUUCUUCGGACUACGUACAAGGUGCUGCAUGGUUGUCGUCAGCUCGUGCCGUGAGGUGUCGGGUUAAGUCCCAUAACGAGCGCAACCCUUGUCUUUAGUUGCCAUCAUUAAGUUGGGCACUUUAAAGAGACUGCCGGUGACAAACCGGAGGAAGGUAAGGAUGACGUCAAGUCAGCAUGCCCCUUAUGCUCUGGGCUGCACACGUGCUACAAUGGCCGUGACAAAGAGUUGCUACUUUGUGAAAACAAGCUAAUCUCAUAAACGCGGCCUCAGUUCGGAUUGCAGG